Molecule: ribosomal RNA, 450 nt
Filed under: uncultured bacterium
Lineage: Bacteria
Description: partial 16S ribosomal RNA
Rfam family: Bacterial small subunit ribosomal RNA
Source: RNAcentral
GUGGGGAAUAUUGGACAAUGGGCGAAAGCCUGAUCCAGCCAUGCCGCGUGUGUGAAGAAGGUCUUCGGAUUGUAAAGCACUUUAAGUUGGGAGGAAGGGCAGUAAGUUAAUACCUUGCUGUUUUGACGUUACCGACAGAAUAAGCACCGGCUAACUUCGUGCCAGCAGCCGCGGUAAUACGAAGGGUGCAAGCGUUAAUCGGAAUUACUGGGCGUAAAGCGCGCGUAGGUGGUUUUGUAAGUUGGAGGUGAAAACACCGGGCUCAACCUGAGAACUGCCUCCAAAACUGCAUGACUAGAGUACGGUAGAGGGUAGUGGAAUUUCCUGUGUAGCGGUGAAAUGCGUAGAUAUAGGGAGGAACACCAGUGGCGAAGGCGACUACCUGGACUGAUACUGACACUGAGGUGCGAAAGCGUGGGGAGCAAACAGGAUUAGAAACCCCUGUAGUCC